GAUGAAGAACGUAGCGAAAUGCGAUAAGUAAUGGGAAUUGCAGAAUUCAGUGAAUCAUCGAAUCUUUGAACGCACAUUGCGCCCCCUGGUAUUCCGGGGGGCAUGCCUGUUCGAGCGUCAUUUCACCACUCAAGCCUCGCUUGGUAUUGGGCAACGCGGUCCGCCGCGUGCCUCAAAUCGACCGGCUGGGUCUUCUGUCCCCUAAGCGUUGUGGAAACUAUUCGCUAAAGGGUGCUCGGGAGGCUACGCCGUAAAACAAACCCAUUUCUAAGGUUGACCUCGGAUCAGGUAGGGAUACCCGCUGAACUUAAGCAUAUCAAUAAGCGGAGGA
This 331-nucleotide unclassified non-coding RNA is filed under the name soil metagenome. RNAcentral describes it as "partial contains 5.8S ribosomal RNA, internal transcribed spacer 2, and large subunit ribosomal RNA". The stretch from base 1 to 120 matches the Rfam family "5.8S ribosomal RNA", at positions 35 to 154 of the family's 154-position model. The record is from RNAcentral.